Molecule: ribosomal RNA, 253 nt
Filed under: uncultured bacterium
Lineage: Bacteria
Description: partial 16S ribosomal RNA
Rfam family: Bacterial small subunit ribosomal RNA
Source: RNAcentral
GACGAAGGAUCCAAGCGUUGUCCGGAUUUACUGGGUUUAAAGGAUGCGUAGGCGGACACUUAAGCCAGUGGUGAAAUCCCAUAGCUCAACUAUGGAACUGCCAUUGGAACUGUGUGUCUUGAAUUCGGUUGAGGUAGAUGGAAUAUAACAUGUAGCGGUGAAAUGCUUAGAUAUGUUAUAGAACACCGAUUGCGAAGGCAGUCUACUAAGCCGACAUUGACGCUGAGGCAUGAAAGCGUGGGGAGCGAACAGG